AGUCGAACGAAGCAUUUAGAACAGAUUACUUCGGUUUGAAGUUCUUUAUGACCGAUUGGCGGACGGGUGAGUAACGCGUGGGUAGCCUGCCUUGUACUGGGGGAUAGCAGCUGGAAACGGCUGGUAAUACCGCAUAAGCGCACAAUGUUGCAUGACAUGGUGUGAAAAACUCCGGUGGUAUAAGAUGGACCCGCGUCUGAUUAGCUAGUUGGUGAGAUAACAGCCCACCAAGGCGACGAUCAGUAGCCGACCUGAGAGGGUGACCGGCCACAUUGGGACUGAGACACGGCCCAGACUCCUACGGGAGGCAGCAGUGGGGAAUAUUGCACAAUGGAGGAAACUCUGAUGCAGCGACGCCGCGUGAGUGAAGAAGUAAUUCGUUAUGUAAAGCUCUAUCAGCAGGGAAGAUAGUGACGGUACCUGACUAAGAAGCUCCGGCUAAAUACGUGCCAGCAGCCGCGGUAAUACGUAUGGAGCAAGCGUUAUCCGGAUUUACUGGGUGUAAAGGGAGUGUAGGUGGCCAUGCAAGUCAGAAGUGAAAAUCCGGGGCUCAACCCCGGAACUGCUUUUGAAACUGUAAGGCUAGAGUGCAGGAGGGGUGAGUGGAAUUCCUAGUGUAGCGGUGAAAUGCGUAGAUAUUAGGAGGAACACCAGUGGCGAAGGCGGCUCACUGGACUGUAACAGACACUGAGGCUCGAAAGCGUGGGGAGCAAACAGGAUUAGAUACCCUGGUAGUCCACGCUGUAAACGAUGAAUACUAGGUGUCGGGGCCCAUAAGGGCUUCGGUGCCGCAGCAAACGCAAUAAGUAUUCCACCUGGGGAGUACGUUCGCA
RNAcentral lists this ribosomal RNA (833 nucleotides) under uncultured bacterium. Its description in RNAcentral is "bacterial SSU rRNA". It matches the Rfam family "Bacterial small subunit ribosomal RNA", at positions 60 to 890 of the family's 1533-position model. The record is from RNAcentral.